UGUAGGUGGAUGGUCCACGGCCGUCCACAAGCUCAAAUGACCAUAUAUGGAGAAAAAGGCGGGACCAAACCAAAUAGGCUUGCAAUGCGCAUGCCCAAGCAAAACCGAUUGUAAGCCAUCUUGAAUUGUUAGCGUGAAAAGAAAUAUACUACAUUUAUUGGAUAUUUUAAUAUGAUGAAUAUUCUAGGUAGAGAAUAUGGAUAGUAUUAUCAUUAUUAGUAUUACGUCAACAUUAACUCAACAAUUGUAUUGUUGACAUGAAGAAAAAGCUAUUUCGAGGUUGUUUUGACCAUUGAUUGCUAAUAACACCUGGCGCCGUGACCUGGAUGCAGAUUCUAAGCAGAUGGGCCAAAAUGGGGGUAGCUAGAGAGACUCGCCUGGAACUGACAAGCCUGGAGGGAGCUGGUUGACUGUUGGCGAGAUGGGACAACAGACGAAGAAUAAACGAACCUACUUGAUUUGAAAAACAUUUUUGUAAGUCAUUCAAGAAUCGAGCAAACUUUUUGUUUCCAAUAAGCAGUCCUGUAUAUUUCCGAAAUAAAAUAAAAUGUUUCACUCAG
Molecule: long non-coding RNA, 560 nt
Organism: Dreissena polymorpha
Lineage: Eukaryota; Metazoa; Mollusca; Bivalvia; Myida; Dreissenidae
Exons: 2
Source: RefSeq, a predicted model, not a curated record